Molecule: ribosomal RNA, 641 nt
Filed under: Saccharothrix sp. I12A-02920
Lineage: Bacteria; Bacillati; Actinomycetota; Actinomycetes; Pseudonocardiales; Pseudonocardiaceae
Description: bacterial SSU rRNA
Rfam family: Bacterial small subunit ribosomal RNA
Source: RNAcentral
GCGAACGGGUGAGUAACACGUGGGUAACCUGCCCUGUACUCUGGGAUAAGCCUGGGAAACUAGGUCUAAUACCGGAUAUGACCUGCCUCCGCAUGGUGGUGGGUGGAAAGUUCCGGCGGUACAGGAUGGACCCGCGGCCUAUCAGCUUGUUGGUGGGGUAAUGGCCUACCAAGGCGACGACGGGUAGCCGGCCUGAGAGGGUGACCGGCCACACUGGGACUGAGACACGGCCCAGACUCCUACGGGAGGCAGCAGUGGGGAAUAUUGCACAAUGGGCGAAAGCCUGAUGCAGCGACGCCGCGUGAGGGAUGACGGCCUUCGGGUUGUAAACCUCUUUCAGCGGGGACGAAGGGCAACUGACGGUACCCGCAGAAGAAGCACCGGCUAACUACGUGCCAGCAGCCGCGGUAAUACGUAGGGUGCGAGCGUUGUCCGGAAUUAUUGGGCGUAAAGAGCUCGUAGGCGGUUUGUUGCGUCGGCUGUGAAAACUUCACGCUUAACGUGGAGCCUGCAGUCGAUACGGGCAGACUUGAGUUCGGCAGGGGAGACUGGAAUUCCUGGUGUAGCGGUGAAAUGCGCAGAUAUCAGGAGGAACACCGGUGGCGAAGGCGGGUCUCUGGGCCGAUACUGACGCUGAGGAG